AAAGCACGAUGAGGGAACUUUCUAAGAAUCUCCUUGAAUCUCUCGUAACUCUCAAAAAUAGAUUAUCCUUCUAACUGAGUAAUAGAAGUAAUUUUAUUUUUAAGUUU
This is a small nucleolar RNA of Dendrobium catenatum, 107 nucleotides long. The record is from RefSeq and is a predicted model, not a curated record. NCBI's taxonomy places the organism in Eukaryota, Viridiplantae, Streptophyta, Magnoliopsida, Asparagales, Orchidaceae.